Molecule: ribosomal RNA, 552 nt
Filed under: uncultured Syntrophobacteraceae bacterium
Lineage: Bacteria; Pseudomonadati; Thermodesulfobacteriota; Syntrophobacteria; Syntrophobacterales; Syntrophobacteraceae
Description: bacterial SSU rRNA
Rfam family: Bacterial small subunit ribosomal RNA
Source: RNAcentral
GGCGCACGGGUGAGUAACGCGUAGAUAACCUACCCCCUGGUUUGGGAUAACAGUGCGAAAGCGCUGCUAAUACCGGAUACGAUCUUAAGGCGGGAGCUUUAAGGUGAAAGUCGGCCUCUCGAAGAAGCUGAUGUUGGGGGAUGGGUCUGCGUCCUAUCAGCUAGUUGGUAGGGUAACGGCCUACCAAGGCGACGACGGGUAGCUGGUCUGAGAGGAUGAUCAGCCACACUGGCACUGGAACACGGGCCAGACUCCUACGGGAGGCAGCAGUGAGGAAUUUUGCGCAAUGGGAGCAAUCCUGACGCAGCAACGCCGCGUGGGUGAAGAAGGCCUUCGGGUCGUAAAGCCCUGUCAGGUGGGAAGAAAGGCUUGGAUUCGAAUAGGGUUUGAGUUUGACGGUACCACCAGAGGAAGCACCGGCUAACUCCGUGCCAGCAGCCGCGGUAAUACGGAGGGUGCGAGCGUUAUUCGGAAUUACUGGGCGUAAAGCGCGUGCAGGCGGCCUGAUAAGUCUGAUGUGAAAGCCCUGGGCUUAACCUGGGAAGUGCAUUG